UACGGGGGGAGCUAGCGUUGUUCGGAAUUAUUGGGCGUAAAGGGUGUGUAGGCGGUUAUAUAAGUAAGGUGUUAAAUCCCCGGGCUCAACCCUGGAAUCGCAUCUUAUACUGUAUGACUAGAAUAUGGUAGAGGAAAGCGGAAUUUCUAGUGUAGAGGUGAAAUUCGCAGAUAUUAGAAGGAACGUCAGAGGCGAAGGCGGCUUUCUGGACCAUUAUUGACGCUGAGGCACGAAAGCGUGGGGAGCAAACAGG
This 253-nucleotide unclassified non-coding RNA is filed under the name uncultured Alphaproteobacteria bacterium. RNAcentral's name for it is "contains 16S-23S intergenic spacer region". It matches the Rfam family "Bacterial small subunit ribosomal RNA", at positions 524 to 776 of the family's 1533-position model. Lineage: Bacteria; Pseudomonadati; Pseudomonadota; Alphaproteobacteria. The record is from RNAcentral.